AUUGAACGCUGGCGGCAGGCCUAACACAUGCAAGUCGAGCGGAUGAAGGGAGCUUGCUCCUGGAUUCAGCGGCGGACGGGUGAGUAAUGCCUAGGAAUCUGCCUGGUAGUGGGGGAUAACGUCCGGAAACGGGCGCUAAUACCGCAUACGUCCUGAGGGAGAAAGUGGGGGUUCUUCGGACCUCACGCUAUCAGAUGAGCCUAGGUCGGAUUAGCUAGUUGGUGGGGUAAAGGCCUACCAAGGCGACGAUCCGUAACUGGUCUGAGAGGAUGAUCAGUCACACUGGAACUGAGACACGGUCCAGACUCCUACGGGAGGCAGCAGUGGGGAAUAUUGGACAAUGGGCGAAAGCCUGGUCCAGCCAUGCCGCGUGUGUGAAGAAGGUCUUCGGAUUGUAAAGCACUUUAAGUUGGGAGGAAGGGCAGUAAGUUAAUACCUUGCUGUUUUGACGUUACCAACAGAAUAAGCACCGGCUAACUUCGUG
This 484-nucleotide ribosomal RNA is filed under the name uncultured bacterium. RNAcentral describes it as "partial 16S ribosomal RNA". It matches the Rfam family "Bacterial small subunit ribosomal RNA", at positions 30 to 507 of the family's 1533-position model. The record is from RNAcentral.